UUGUCGUGCUCCGACGACAUCUCGGCCGCGACGACGUUACUGCGAUGGAUGUUGCGACAACGCUGUCGUGCUCCGACGACAUCGACGAAUGCUACGACGGAUGUUGCUUCGGUGGCUCGGGCUACUCUGACGAUGCUGCGACGGCUUGCUGCGACGGCGCCACCGUGCUGUGAGCCGGUGGCCAAGCCAUCGGAGCUGCUGUGACGGCGGAGUGCCCGUGAACUGAUGUUGCCGGCGUCCUGUGAUGCACUAGAGUUUGCUUCGCAUGCGAGAAAUGUGUGUGCGACGUUCUGCAAUGAGAAGAAAGAAGAGAGAAGACUAUGUUACGUUGACUUCCAUCGAAAGGCUAGGAAAGUCCAGAUCGUAUGGUCCAGAAGUUGUUUUGCUUUCCUGCAUCCGGAUGCCGCCUAGCAGCGGCCAAACCUAGCCCUGCUCUGUACCGCCACCCGACCUGCGCGCCGCUACCCCCGACCUGCGCACCGCCGGCACAACCCGCCCGCCGGUCCCCUCGCACCACCACCGACCCCCGGUCUCCCUUCACUUAGCCCGCAGUAGCAGAAGAGCCGUCCACGACGGAGGAGCAUCGUCCGCCACCGAGGAGCAGCAGCGCCAUCCGCCGCCAAGGAUCCCCCGCGCCGGGAAGUAGCAGGACCAUCCGCCCAAGGAUCCGCGGCCCCGACGGCUGCUGAAGUGCCGCCCGCCAUUCUUCUUCCAACAUAGGCAACGCCUGUCCCGGUUGACUCCAGUUACCUAGCACCUCCUCCAGAUCUUAACUGGUAGGAUGCAAAAAUUUCCAUGUGCUGGCUACAUAUCCAGUUAUAUCUGUUCAUGCCUGUGAUUUUUCUUCACGAGCUUUUCAUAUUUAGAACUUCAUAUACCAGAGAUGCAAAUUUGCAGAAACUGUAAUGUAGAUAUAGUAGUCCUGGAGAAAGACCGAACUCCAUAAUAUAUAGGUUAUUCUGUAUAUUUCCUAGUUUCAGUGAGCCAUCUGAAUCUCUUAAAAGCGUUUCAGUGUGCCUAUGAGAGUAGAACCACAUAAUGUUUCAUAGUACAAUGUUCAAUGUAUUUGUGGGCAUCAAGCUGUGAGUAAUAUAUUUGAUCAUUUUUCAACUCUGUAUGUGCAAUAAGACUAGCUAAGAGAGAAAAUUACAUUUCCUGCUAAAUGAUCAUCACUUAUACAUGACUUUUUGAAGCUGGGGUGUAUGGAAUCAGAUGGUAGACAAACUCAUUCUGCAAAUUGACUAUUAUUCAGAAUGGUGCCGUGAUUUGAUUUUGUCGUAUCGUAGUCCAACUUAUCUAGCAUUGCAGCAGCUGCCUACAUGAUGGGGGCCCCUGAACAUACCUGCGCCGUUUAUCUGUAAAAUCUGGUUCAACUUUUGCUGCUGUAUUUAGCUUGCUUGUCUCACAUGCGUGUUUCUUGAGUUCGAGUGACAAAGUAAAACUGAUUUGAUUUUAUUGGAGGUUCCCAACAUAGUUUUUCCUUUUUUCAUAAUUUUUUGUUAAACUGAUUUGAUUUUAUGCCCGCUCUACGUAUUGUGUUUCUUCUUAAUUUGACUCAGAUUCUGAUAUUGCCUACACCAGGGCACAAUGAUGAAUUCUAGGAAGGAUGCUCAUGCAAGGAAAGGCUAUGUUGUCUUAACAAGGAUGAAAAGUAUAACAACAUACACAAACCAACGUGGACAACCCAGAUCUGGACAGAUGGGACCUGGAAGAUACACCAGAAACAGAAGAAAAAGUUCUCAAAAUUGUGAGAGAGCGAUAUAGAGGCUGGCGAUCAACUGCAAGCUCCACUUACAAGGCAUACAAAACAGAUGCAGCUAGAUUGGCUAAUCUGCCGGAAGAUUUACAAUCAGAAGAGUGGGAAGGGAUGAUUGACUACUUUGUCACUGAUUCAUAAUUUCAGGAACGCAGCCGAAAGAACACUGGUAAUCGUAAGAAAUA
Long non-coding RNA from Triticum aestivum (bread wheat), 1941 nucleotides. RefSeq lists it as uncharacterized. NCBI's taxonomy places the organism in Eukaryota, Viridiplantae, Streptophyta, Magnoliopsida, Poales, Poaceae. The record is from RefSeq and is a predicted model, not a curated record. The transcript is spliced from 4 exons.